This 405-nucleotide ribosomal RNA is filed under the name uncultured bacterium. Its description in RNAcentral is "bacterial SSU rRNA". It matches the Rfam family "Bacterial small subunit ribosomal RNA", at positions 355 to 776 of the family's 1533-position model. The record is from RNAcentral.
UGGGGGAUAUUGCACAAUGGGGGAAACCCUGAUGCAGCAAUGCCGCGUGAGGGAAGAAGGCCUUCGGGUUGUAAACCUAAGUUGUCAGGGACGAAACAUGACGGUACCUGAAGAGAAAGCUCCGGCUAACUACGUGCCAGCAGCCGCGGUAAUACGUAGGGAGCGAGCGUUGUCCGGAUUUACUGGGUGUAAAGGGUGCGUAGGCGGGUUUGCAAGUCAGACGUGAAAUACCGAGGCUUAACUUCGGGGCUGCGUUUGAAACUGUAGAUCUUGAGUGAAGUAGAGGCAGGCGGAAUUCCUAGUGUAGCGGUGAAAUGCGUAGAUAUUAGGAGGAACACCAGUGGCGAAGGCGGCCUGCUGGGCUUUAACUGACGCUGAGGCACGAAAGCAUGGGGAGCAAACAGG